Molecule: long non-coding RNA, 1013 nt
Filed under: Ovis aries (sheep)
Lineage: Eukaryota; Metazoa; Chordata; Mammalia; Artiodactyla; Bovidae
Description: lncRNA (ENSOARG00000025396.1)
Source: RNAcentral
GAGAUGGCAGCGGCUUCUCCCCAGCCCGGAGGCUGCCUCCUCCUGACAAGGGGCCCCAGUCGUCGGGGCCCUAAACCAGCUGUGGCAACCGCCCACCGCUGGCCAAAUGGAACGCUCCUCACGUCACCAGGUCGUUCCAGUAGUUGCUAGCCCUCUAUUGGCUGAUCCGCCUCGGCGCCUCCGCCCCUGCCACCCCUGCCCCGAACUACCAUUGGCUGCGCAGAACGCCACUCGACGACGCCUCCGCCCCAUUCCCCCACCCAUCUCCCGACUUCGUGCCCACCUGCCAAGCCUUUGCCAGCCUCCCUUUGGGGUCUGAGCACCGAUGUGUGAAGUGUCGCUUUCUAUUAAUAUAGUUCCGCAGGGACCGGGAUGAAGCGUAGUGUCAAUGGGACUAGGAGGAACGGGGGACCUGCCUCCCCCCGCACACACGUACCAUGAGACGCUGAAGGAACCCUGGCUCACAGAUCCCGGUGCUCACCCCAAACUGGAUCCUCCUUGGGCCUCUCCAGCCGUACUUACAUGAAAUCAAUCGCGACUUGGGAUUUUACUCUGUACCCGCGUAAAAAUAAGUUCUGCCUCCCAAGUCAUAUUCACGAGGUAGGGAUCCCACCUUUGUCCCAGUCACCCUGGCCUGCAUCUGUGGCUUUAGGGACAAAACAAACAUAUAAAAAGGAACUUGAAAGAGAUAACUGUCCCCAAGAGGAUAGAAUCACUUUGCGGUAUCGUAAACAAAAAAUUGACGCUGAAACUCUACUGACAGGACAUAAAUUCUUUCAGGACCUCUCUGAUGACACCUUCUCCAUCUCCUUGGAAAAGAGUGAACAAUCUCUGACUGAGUCCACACUGCAUAAAAACAGAAGCCGCUUGACAGCUAGCAAAAGCAUCUACUUGUUCACAUACAUAACUAAGUAAAUAUUUAAUGUAUGAUCUGUUAGCUGUUCCUGUUGCUGUGUAUUUCUGAUAAAUGCAUCUGUGUUAGUGUUAUGUCCAGUUAGAAGUGGUUUGGACAA